This 460-nucleotide ribosomal RNA is filed under the name uncultured bacterium. RNAcentral's name for it is "partial 16S ribosomal RNA". It matches the Rfam family "Bacterial small subunit ribosomal RNA", at positions 338 to 795 of the family's 1533-position model. The record is from RNAcentral.
CCUACGGGAGGCAGUAGUGAGGAAUAUUGGUCAAUGGACGAGAGUCUGAACCAGCCAAGUAGCGUGAAGGAUGACUGCCCUAUGGGUUGUAAACUUCUUUUAUAUGGGAAUAAAAUGUUCCACGUGUGGGCUUUUGUAUGUACCAUAUGAAUAAGGAUCGGCUAACUCCGUGCCAGCAGCCGAGGUAAUACGGAGGAUCCGAGCGUUAUCCGGAUUUAUUGGGUUUAAAGGGAGCGUAGGUGGAUUGUUAAGUCAGUUGUGAAAGUUUGCGGCUCAACCGUAAAAUUGCAGUUGAAACUGGCAGUCUUGAGUACAGUAGAGGUGGGCGGAAUUCGUGGUGUAGCGGUGAAAUGCUUAGAUAUCACGAAGAACUCCGAUUGCGAAGGCAGCUCACUGGACUGCAACUGACACUGAGGCUCGAAAGUGUGGGUAUCAAACAGGAUUAGAUACCCCAGUAGUC